RNAcentral lists this ribosomal RNA (497 nucleotides) under uncultured bacterium. Its description in RNAcentral is "partial 16S ribosomal RNA". It matches the Rfam family "Bacterial small subunit ribosomal RNA", at positions 28 to 523 of the family's 1533-position model. The record is from RNAcentral.
GAUGAACGCCGGCGGCGUGCUUAACACAUGCAAGUCGAACGAAGCGCUUUUAUUUGAUUUCUUCGGAAUGAAGAUUUUAGUGACUGAGUGGCGGACGGGUGAGUAACGCGUGGGUAACCUGCCUCAUACAGGGGGAUAACAGUUAGAAAUGACUGCUAAUACCGCAUAAGACCACAGUACCGCAUGGUACAGGGGUAAAAACUCCGGUGGUAUGAGAUGGACCCGCGUCUGAUUAGGUAGUUGGUGGGGUAACGGCCUACCAAGCCGACGAUCAGUAGCCGGCCUGAGAGGGUGACCGGCCACAUUGGGACUGAGACACGGCCCAAACUCCUACGGGAGGCAGCAGUGGGGAAUAUUGCACAAUGGGGGAAACCCUGAUGCAGCGACGCCGCGUGAGCGAUGAAGUAUUUCGGUAUGUAAAGCUCUAUCAGCAGGGAAGAAAAUGACAGUACCUGACUAAGAAGCACCGGCUAAAUACGUGCCAGCCGCCGCAGUAA